This 471-nucleotide long non-coding RNA is filed under the name Manihot esculenta (cassava). Its description in RNAcentral is "long non-coding RNA (MESC_LNC007401)". Lineage: Eukaryota; Viridiplantae; Streptophyta; Magnoliopsida; Malpighiales; Euphorbiaceae. The record is from RNAcentral.
GUUCGCAGUCCACCUGUUGGAUGUAACAGUUAGUUUCUUUCAGUUCUGGCUCUUUUUGGCUCUCUUCCGUGCAAGGAUCAUUGUUUAGUAUAUCAUCUUGAUUUGUAUAAAAAAUAUCUUUGCUCAAAUAAUCAAUGAUAUCUAAAUCAACAACAGGUUCUGUUUGAUCAGUUUGUUUGGGCAAACAAUUUUCUGGCUGUGUUUUUUCAGCAACUUGUACUUGCCAACUUUCAUCAUCAUCCCAUACAUCUUGAAGCUCUUCCUCUCUUCUUAACAUGGUUGCAUUCAAUGAUUUGUUCAAUUGAUCCUGUUGUUGUUGGAUACUCUACAAAGUCUUCAUAAUCUCAUCAAGAUUGGAACUAUGAAGUUCUGGUUGGGCUUGAUAUCCUUGAUAAUCCUGGUAGUUGUUAGCCUCUGCCUAACUGAAGUCUGGAUAGUCUCUCCAACCUGGAUUGUAUGUGUUAUAGUAUG